GAUCCUGGCUCAGGAUGAACGCUGGCGGCAUGCCUAAUACAUGAAGCCUAGCGAUUGUAAAGUUAGUGGCGGACGGGUGAGUAACGCGUGAAUAACCUGCCCUGUACCGGGGGGCAACAGUUGGAAACGGCUGCUAAUACCGCAUAAGCGCACGGUUCCGCAUGGAACAGUGUGAAAAACUCCGGUGGUACAGGAUGGAUUCGCGUCUGAUUAGCCAGUUGGUGGGGUAACGGCCUACCAAAGCAACGA
This 249-nucleotide ribosomal RNA is filed under the name uncultured bacterium. Its description in RNAcentral is "partial 16S ribosomal RNA". It matches the Rfam family "Bacterial small subunit ribosomal RNA", at positions 15 to 279 of the family's 1533-position model. The record is from RNAcentral.